This 405-nucleotide ribosomal RNA is filed under the name uncultured bacterium. RNAcentral's name for it is "partial 16S ribosomal RNA". It matches the Rfam family "Bacterial small subunit ribosomal RNA", at positions 30 to 526 of the family's 1533-position model. The record is from RNAcentral.
AUUGAACGCUGGCGGCAGGCUUAACACAUGCAAGUCGAACGAGCGGCGGACGGGUGAGUAAUUCUUGGGUAUCUCGCUUAUGGAGGGGGAUAACUACGGUGCACCGUAGCCAAUACCGCGUACCAACGGAUGAGCCCAAGUGGGAUUAGGUAGUUGGGUAGGUAAAGGCUCACCAAGCCGAAGAUCUCUAGCUGGUCUGAGAGGAUGACCGGCCACACUGAGACGGAGACACGGCCCAGACUCCUACGGGAGGCAGCAGUGGGGAAUAUUGCGCAAUGGGGGCAACCUGACGCAGCCAUGCCGCGUGAAUGAAGAAGGCCUUCGGGUUGUAAAGUUCUUUCGGUAGCGAGGCGUUAACUACAGAAGAAGCACCGGCUAACUCCGUGCCAGCAGCCGCGGUAAUAC